GGGUCAACAGCGAUUGCACGGGCAUUAUAAUACUGUAAGAUUGUUUUUUAUCCUUAAAAAAUGCAGAGAAUAAUGAUCCUAAUCCUUUUUUCAGAAUCGAGAAAGUGACUGACCACCUGGAAGCACUCAUUGAUCCAUUUGACCUGGAUGUUUUCACGCCACACCUCAACAGCAACCUCAAUCGCCUGGUGCAGCGAACUUCUGUGAGUUGAGUCUCAAACAUGCUCAUUGUGACUUAAGUGCCACAGGCUCAAAUUACAAAAUUAACCUGCUGCUGCACUUACACUCCAGGAGGCAGCCUUAGGAGGGGGGUAAGACACAAAUAGCUGUGUGUAGUUAUAAGGGCUGAAAGAGGAUUAGAUAAAAUCUCACAUGCUGAGGCAAACAUGAUCUGACUCCUUAAGUUAUAGAUAAGGAUUAUUAAGGUUUUAUCCAGGCCUCAGAAAGAAAAAUAAAAGAACUAUGUGACUGUGAGAUUCUGACCUGCAGGGCAAUGAUAAAAAGUAAUUUUGAAGCAUUAAUACGCUCAAAAGAACAUUCCCCAAAACGAUGGUUAGAACAGUGAUUGAUUGCUAACAGAGAAGUGACUUUCCCUGACCUGGACAGUGAAACCCCAGCAUUUUAUUGUGCUCCAUUUCUUGUCUGUCAGGUUCUGUUUGGAUUGGUUACUGGUACGGAGAGUCAGUUCAGCCCCCGGAGCAGUACAUUCAACUCCCAAGAACCCCACAACAUACUGCCACUGGCAUCGAGUCAGAUCAGGUUUGGACUUCUCCCACUCAGCAUGACAAGCACUCGAAGGGUGAAAUCAACCAGCAGAAGCGUCGAAACAAAAGCCCAGGUUGUCCCCCCGGCACUCUCCAGAGCAGGUGACCCGAUGCUUCCUGGCUCCUUGUUCAGACAGCUCGUCAGUGAGGAAGACGACACGUCUGCACCUUCAUUAUUCAAACUUGGCUGGCUCUCUAGUAUGACUAAGUAGCAUGGGAACAUACCCCUCUCUCUAAAUAAAUACUACCACAUUAUUUCUUCUAAAGGUGCCCCUGCUCAUUUGUUUCAAAGCCACACCAAUCUAUCCAGUUCCAAUGAUGGAAUGUGGCCCCCUAGUUACUGUUAGGGGUUACUUUAAGCAUAAAGUUAAUCCUUGUCCAAUAGUUUCACAAUACUUGUUGCUUUAAACAUCAGUUCAGAUAGGUUACACUUUAUCAGCAUUCAUCAAUGCCUUAAUUAUUGACACUACAAGGUGGAGUUAUCAGACAUCAGGUAAGCUGCUGAUUUAACAAGUUUGUGAGUAAGACAAAAAGUCAUUACAUAUUUCUUCACUUUCCGAGCUGUGCAGUGUUU
RNAcentral lists this long non-coding RNA (1338 nucleotides) under Microcebus murinus (gray mouse lemur). RNAcentral's name for it is "lncRNA (ENSMICG00000048741.1)". Lineage: Eukaryota; Metazoa; Chordata; Mammalia; Primates; Cheirogaleidae. The record is from RNAcentral.